GGGUGACGGAGCGACGCCGCGUGGGUGAAGAAGGCCUUCGGGUUGUAAAACCCUGUCAGGAGUUAUGAAAUGUAAGUGCGCUAAUAUCGUGCUUAUUUGACAAAGGCUCCAAAGGAAGCCACGGCUAACUUUGUGCCAGCAGCCGCGGUAAUACAGAGGUGGCGAGCGUUGUUCGGAAUUAUUGGGCGUAAAGAGCACGUAGGUGGGUUUGCAAGUCAGAUGUGAAAGCCUUCUGUUCAACGGAAGAAUUGCAUCUGAAACUGCUGAUCUUGAGUAUAGGAGGGGAGAAUGGAACUUCUGGUGGAGCGGUGAAAUGCGUAGAUAUCAGAAGGAUCGCCGGCGGCGAAAGCGAUUCUCUGGCCUAUUACUGACACUCAGUGUGCGAAAGCUAGGGGAGCAAACGGGAUUAGAUACCCCGGUAGUCCUAGCCGUAAACGAUGGGCACUAAGUAGAGG
RNAcentral lists this ribosomal RNA (455 nucleotides) under uncultured anaerobic ammonium-oxidizing bacterium. Its description in RNAcentral is "bacterial SSU rRNA". It matches the Rfam family "Bacterial small subunit ribosomal RNA", at positions 381 to 826 of the family's 1533-position model. The record is from RNAcentral.